Long non-coding RNA from Biomphalaria glabrata, 260 nucleotides. RefSeq lists it as uncharacterized. The transcript has 3 exons. The record is from RefSeq and is a predicted model, not a curated record. NCBI's taxonomy places the organism in Eukaryota, Metazoa, Mollusca, Gastropoda, Planorbidae.
UGAUUGCUAUUACACUGGUGUCAGACAUUGAAGGAAAGGUGAAGAUUUCAUAUUUUUCAAGAAGCAAAACUUCGAUCUGAACGAAUGGGGACCUCGUCUUCAGCACAUUUGGAUCCCGAGAUAAAAGAACUCUUCACCCCGAGCGGACCACAAACAGAUAAAGAAAUCCGUUCCCUAUAUAAAGGUCAAGAGAUGGCCAAACACUACGCUGAAUACAGGCCUGGCUACCCUCCAGAAAUCUUUGAUACAAUCAUGUCGUA